Cervus elaphus (red deer) is the source of this 154-nucleotide long non-coding RNA. RefSeq lists it as uncharacterized. The transcript is spliced from 3 exons. NCBI's taxonomy places the organism in Eukaryota, Metazoa, Chordata, Mammalia, Artiodactyla, Cervidae. The record is from RefSeq and is a predicted model, not a curated record.
AGAUCUAUCAAAGAGGAGCCCCAGAGUUCUGGGAUGGUGGAAGGAACCAACCGGACACUUGAAGAGACACUCUCCAAGUGGAUCUUAGAGACUGCCUGCUCCUGGGUAGACUUGUUUCCAAUGGCUCUGCUCAGACCCAGGAUGACCCCACGGU